AGGUUGUCCGUGGUGAGUUCGCAUUGUUUAAUGAUGCCCAAUACACGGUCGAUCUCU
RNAcentral lists this microRNA precursor (57 nucleotides) under Pteropus alecto (black flying fox). RNAcentral describes it as "microRNA pal-mir-323b precursor". Its record names the gene pal-mir-323b. Lineage: Eukaryota; Metazoa; Chordata; Mammalia; Chiroptera; Pteropodidae. The record is from miRBase by way of RNAcentral.